RNAcentral lists this ribosomal RNA (402 nucleotides) under uncultured prokaryote. Its description in RNAcentral is "bacterial SSU rRNA". It matches the Rfam family "Bacterial small subunit ribosomal RNA", at positions 355 to 774 of the family's 1533-position model. The record is from RNAcentral.
UAGGGAAUAUUGCACAAUGGACGAAAGUCUGAUGCAGCAACGCCGCGUGGAGGAUGACACAUUUCGGUGCGUAAACUCCUUUUAUAUAGGAAGAUAAUGACGGUACUAUAUGAAUAAGCACCGGCUAACUCCGUGCCAGCAGCCGCGGUAAUACGGAGGGUGCAAGCGUUACUCGGAAUCACUGGGCGUAAAGAGCGUGUAGGCGGGUAUAUAAGUCAGAAGUGAAAUCCAAUAGCUUAACUAUUGAACUGCUUUUGAAACUGUAUACCUAGAAUGUGGGAGAGGUAGAUGGAAUUUCUGGUGUAGGGGUAAAAUCCGUAGAGAUCAGAAGGAAUACCGAUUGCGAAGGCGAUCUACUGGAACAUUAUUGACGCUGAGACGCGAGAGCGUGGGUAGCAAACA